This 495-nucleotide ribosomal RNA is filed under the name uncultured bacterium. RNAcentral's name for it is "bacterial SSU rRNA". It matches the Rfam family "Bacterial small subunit ribosomal RNA", at positions 8 to 524 of the family's 1533-position model. The record is from RNAcentral.
AGAGUUUGAUCAUGGCUCAGGAUGAACGCUGGCGGCGUGCCUAACACAUGCAAGUCGAGCGAACCCUUCGGGGUGAGCGGCGGACGGGUGAGUAACGCGUGGGUAACCUGCCCUGUACACACGGAUAACAUACCGAAAGGUAUGCUAAUACGAGAUAAUAUAUUUUAAUCGCAUGGUUAAGAUAUCAAAGCUCCGGCGGUACAGGAUGGACCCGCGUCUGAUUAGCUAGUUGGUGAGGUAAUGGCUCACCAAGGCGACGAUCAGUAGCCGACCUGAGAGGGUGAUCGGCCACACUGGAACUGAGACACGGUCCAGACUCCUACGGGAGGCAGCAGUAGGGAAUAUUGCGCAAUGGACGGAAGUCUGACGCAGCGACGCCGCGUGAGCGAUGAAGGUCUUCGGAUCGUAAAGCUCUGUCCUUGGGGAAGAAGGCGAAAGCUUGACGGUACCCAAGAAGAAAGCCCCGGCUAACUACGUGCCAGCAGCCGCGGUAAU